RNAcentral lists this ribosomal RNA (234 nucleotides) under uncultured bacterium. RNAcentral's name for it is "partial 16S ribosomal RNA". It matches the Rfam family "Bacterial small subunit ribosomal RNA", at positions 118 to 351 of the family's 1533-position model. The record is from RNAcentral.
UGAGUAACCUGCCCUUAACUCUGGGAUAAGCCUGGGAAACUGGGUCCAAUACCGGAUAUGACUCCUCAUCGCAUGGUGGGGGGUGGAAAGCUUUUUUGUGGUUUUGGAUGGACUCGCGGCCUAUCAGCUUGUUGGUGAGGUAAUGGCUCACCAAGGCGACGACGGGUAGCCGGCCUGAGAGGGUGACCGGCCACACUGGGACUGAGACACGGCCCAGACUCCUACGGGAGGCAG